RNAcentral lists this ribosomal RNA (443 nucleotides) under uncultured bacterium. RNAcentral describes it as "partial 16S ribosomal RNA". It matches the Rfam family "Bacterial small subunit ribosomal RNA", at positions 338 to 795 of the family's 1533-position model. The record is from RNAcentral.
CCUACGGGAGGCAGCAGUGGGGAAUAUUGGGCAAUGGGCGCAAGCCUGACCCAGCAACGCCGCGUGAAGGAAGAAGGCUUUCGGGUUGUAAACUUCUUUUCUCAGGGACGAAGCAAGUGACGGUACCUGAGGAAUAAGCCACGGCUAACUACGUGUCAGCAGCCGCGGUAAUACGUAGGUGGCAAGCGUUAUCCGGAUUUACUGGGUGUAAAGGGCGUGUAGGCGGGAAAGCAAGUCAGAUGUGAAAACCAUGGGCUCAACCUGUGGCCUGCAUUUGAAACUGUUUUUCUUGAGUACUGGGGAGGCAGACGGAAUUCCUAGUGUAGCGGUGAAAUGCGUAGAUAUUAGGAGGAACACCAGUGGCGAAGGCGGUCUGCUGGACAGCAACUGACGCUGAGGCGCGAAAGCGUGGGGAGCAAACAGGAUUAGAUACCCGAGUAGUC